GAUGAAGAACGUAGCGAAAUGCGAUAAGUAAUGUGAAUUGCAGAAUUCAGUGAAUCAUCGAAUCUUUGAACGCACAUUGCGCCCGCCAGUAUUCUGGCGGGCAUGCCUGUUCGAGCGUCAUUACAACCCUCAGGCCCCCGGGCCUGGCGUUGGGGAUCGGCGGAGCCCCCCGUGGGCACACGCCGUCCCCCAAAUACAGUGGCGGUCCCGCCGCAGCUUCCAUCGCGUAGUAGCUAACACCUCGCGACUGGAGAGCGGCGCGGCCACGCCGUAAAACACCCAACUCUUCUGAAGUUGUCCUCGAAUCAGGUAGGAAUACCCGCUGAACUUAAGCAUAUCAAUAAGCGGAGGA
RNAcentral lists this unclassified non-coding RNA (352 nucleotides) under soil metagenome. Its description in RNAcentral is "partial contains 5.8S ribosomal RNA, internal transcribed spacer 2, and large subunit ribosomal RNA". The stretch from base 1 to 120 matches the Rfam family "5.8S ribosomal RNA", at positions 35 to 154 of the family's 154-position model. The record is from RNAcentral.